RNAcentral lists this ribosomal RNA (438 nucleotides) under uncultured bacterium. RNAcentral describes it as "bacterial SSU rRNA". It matches the Rfam family "Bacterial small subunit ribosomal RNA", at positions 958 to 1395 of the family's 1533-position model. The record is from RNAcentral.
AACGCGAAGAACCUUACCUGGGCUCGAAAUGUAGAUGACGAUAACAGAGAUGUUAUUUUCCGCAAGGACAUCUAUAUAGGUGCUGCAUGGCUGUCGUCAGCUCGUGCCGUGAGGUGUUGGGUUAAGUCCCGCAACGAGCGCAACCCUUAUCAUUAGUUGCCAACACGUAAAGGUGGGGACUCUAGUGAGACUGCCUAGGUUAACUAGGAGGAAGGUGAGGAUGACGUCAAGUCCGCAUGGCCUUUAUGUCCAGGGCUACACACGUGCUACAAUGGUCGGUACAGAGGGUGGCGAAACCGCAAGGUGGAGCAAAUCCCACAAAGCCGAUCUCAGUUCAGAUUGUGGUCUGCAACUCGACCACAUGAAGUUGGAAUUGCUAGUAAUGGCGUGUCAGCAACAGCGCCGUGAAUACGUUCCCGGGCCUUGUACACACCGAUA